UACGUAGGGUGCAAGCGUUAAUCGGAAUUACUGGGCGUAAAGCGUGCGCAGGCGGUGAUGUAAGACAGUUGUGAAAUCCCCGGGCUCAACCUGGGAACUGCAUCUGUGACUGCAUCGCUGGAGUGCGGCAGAGGGGAUGGAAUUCCGCGUGUAGCAGUGAAAUGCGUAGAUAUGCGGAGGAACACCGAUGGCGAAGGCAAUCCCCUGGGCCUGCACUGACGCUCAUGCACGAAAGCGUGGGGAGCAACAGG
Molecule: ribosomal RNA, 251 nt
Filed under: uncultured bacterium
Lineage: Bacteria
Description: partial 16S ribosomal RNA
Rfam family: Bacterial small subunit ribosomal RNA
Source: RNAcentral